This 514-nucleotide ribosomal RNA is filed under the name uncultured bacterium. Its description in RNAcentral is "partial 16S ribosomal RNA". It matches the Rfam family "Bacterial small subunit ribosomal RNA", at positions 28 to 523 of the family's 1533-position model. The record is from RNAcentral.
GACGAACGCUGGCGGCGUGCCUAAUACAUGCAAGUCGAGCGGACCGAAGGGAGCUUGCUCCUUUAGGUUAGCGGCGGACGGGUGAGUAACACGAGGGCAACCUGCCCUGCAGACUGGGAUAACUUCGGGAAACCGGAGCUAAUACCGGAUAACACCGAAAACCGCAUGGUUUUCGGUUGAAAGGCGGCUUUUAGCUGUCACUGCAGGAUGGGCCCGCGGCGCAUUAGCUAGUUGGUGAGGUAACGGCUCACCAAGGCGACGAUGCGUAGCCGACCUGAGAGGGGGACCGGCAACACUGGGACGGGAACACGGCCCAGACUCCUACGGGAGGCAGCAGUAGGGAAUCUUCCGCAAUGGACGAAAGUCGGACGGAGCAACGCCGCGUGAGCGAAGAAGGUCUUCGGAUCGUAAAGCUCUGUUGUCAGGGAAGAACAAGUACCGUUCGAACAGGGCGGUACCUUGACGGUACCUGACGAGGAAGCCACGGCUAACUACGUGCCAGCCGCCGCAGUAA